GAAUUUGUUCUAUCCUCAAUCUAACCAUUCUGGGCAAAGAAAACACAGACAUCAAGUAAAUGGGCAUGCUCGCCAAAGUGCUCUGAAUCAAGGUGAUCCUCCUUUGGAGAUGUAUUGGCUCUUCCACCUAGCCAAUUUCUUCUUAAAUCUCUCCUCGACUCCAUCCCAAACAACCAUGUAUCUAUGAGGAGCACCUAAAAGCAAUCCUAGGUAAGAGAAUGGGAGACUCCCAACCUUACACCCAAGAUCUGCAACCAAAGCCUCCACGUUUUCCACACCACCUACCAGGAUUAACUCACUUUUAUCCAAAUUAACUCUCAAUCCCAAAAUGGCCUCAAACCACAUUAGAAUCCAACUUCAAUACAUCAUCUCAUCCUGAGAAGCCCCACAAAAAACCAAAGUAUCAUCAAUGAAUAAUAAAUGAGACACUUGAACCCCUUCACCACCUCUACCCCUCGCCUUGCAAGCUACCAAAAAACCUCCAUUUACAACUUUCUUAAGAAGGCAACUAAGAGCCUCCAUAGCAAUCACCAAUAAGUACGGUGAGAGGGGGUCCCCUUGCCUUAAACCCCUAGACUCUGGAAGAAACUUGAAGAUGUCCCAUUAACCAUAACAGAAAGGCUAGCUGUGGAGAUAUACCACCGCAUCCACCGAAGCCAUUUCAAGAUGGAGAAAUUCUUAUAUUGCUAACAUUGUCCUUAAAUACAAUUAUUCUUUUACCUAGAUCUUUAAUUUUCAAAAGAAUCUUAAUGACUAAGAAACUACAGACAUCACCUCCCUUCUCCAUACUUUAUAUACAUAUUUCCUAUCUAAUUCAAACUUUUGUCAAAUAUAUAAAACCUUGAAUAAAGGCAGUGUUUUACAUUCUAGACCUUUCUUCCAACUCCUCUCUGGCUAAAUUAACUUGGUAAAACAAAGCCCUUGUAAGUUCAAAGCCUUUGCUUGGUUCAUACUUAGUAUCCCCCCCGAAGCUCAAACCAAUAAUAGUUUUCAACUUCAUAAACUUUAUAAGAAGUCCAGACAAACAUGUAUUAUGUUUGCUGAGUGAAGAAUCAGUUGGAUCUUCAUUGCUAUAUCUUUAGAGUUGCAGAUAUGCAUCUUCUUUCUUUAGAAGGUCAUUUUUAUUUUUCUGAUUUUUUUUUUUUUUUUUUUUUUUGUCUCUUUUUGGUGACCACCCAAGACAUUUGUAGUUAUUUACUUCCUUUGAGAGCUUUGGUAGGGGGGAAGGGGGAUAGACUGCUGCCAGUGCAGAGGGUAGAACUAUGUGGCAGUGCUCCCUCCCUGCUUUGAUUUCACUCAUAUGGCUGAUUUUAAAAGAAUAAAAAUAAAUAAAUAACAUCAGAAUAUUUGAGGAUAAAAAGAAGCCUAGGGAUGAUAAGUAUAUAUCCUACCUUCUCUUAGAAUGAUUACAACCAAAGAAUUUCUUGGUUUUUUACAAAGCAUCAUCUCUCUGGAUUAGAAGCUCACAUGUUUAUAUAAGCAAAGAAAAGAGAAAAUCAGUUGUUUGUAAUUUGUUCUCCCAUCAUAGCUUUAUGCUAGACUUUCAUGGUUGCACUGCAUGCUUUCUCCAAUCUGAAUUUGAAUUGGAUUGGUAUUGAAGUCAAGCUCUUACCAAUCUUGGAAGGUUUACUUCAGCUUCUAGAUUGAGCAGCAAGAACUUUCCAGUGGAAGGGGAUUCCAUGGUGGUUAUUUCCCAGGUAGGAGGAUUCAUUCUUUAACAAGAUACAUUCUUGGAGGCAGAGUUCAUCUACUCAUGUUGCUGAACUGGGCCAAGAGGGGAGCAAGAUCUUGAGUUCUUUGAUGGGGGUUUUUACCCCUUGACUGUGUAGUUCAUUCCUUUGAAUAGUUUGUACUUAGGCUGAAGAUUCUCACCACCUCCUUAACUCCCCUCCCCCCCAACACAAAGACAAUUAUUUCCUGGCCAAGAUCAUCUAAUCAUGUGGCUGAAUUUGGCUAAAUGGGACGAAGAUCUUAGUUUUUUGUAGGGAAAUUUUAACUCCUUCCCUCUAAGCAAGGUAAUAGAGAUCAUGGUGGAUAGAAUUUCUUUAGAGAAAUUUCAUUUGGCAUGAUGUCAAUCAAGAGGGAGAUGUUGAAGAUGCUAACAUUAAGACAAGAGUGGCAGAUGCUGUCCAUAGGGCUCUAUUCAAGUCGGGGGAGUGGAAACCAAGUAUUAGGGGGAUACACCUCACCUUCACCUCCCUUUCCCACCCCUAAAAAGCCAAGGUAAGGGAGAUCAUGGUGGAUAGGGUUUCUUUUGAUUGAAAACAAUUACAGUGUGAAAUAUGAUUGAAAGGAUUUGAAGGGUUUCCUUUGAAGUGAUGCCUCAACAAAGAGGAAAAUUCACCUAGUUAAAUGGGACAAUUUGUUUGGAAGAGAAUAGAGAUGGUUUGGGUCUUUUAGAAGGCUCAUGAUGCUCAAUAAAGCUUUGUUAGGUAAAUGGCUCUCUUUCUCGUGGUGGAUAGAGUUUCUUUUGCAAUCUCAAUUAAGGUGUCAAAUAAACUUAAAUAGAUUCAAAGAUAUUUCCUUUCUUCCUCUCCCUAAGCAUCGUAGCAGAGACUAUGGUGGACAGAGUUUCUUUUGUGAUCCCAACUAAGUUGCGACAUAGACAUGAAAAGAAUUAGAGAGAUUUUCUUUGGGGUGAUGAUGCCCCAACAAAGAACAAUAUGCAUGUGAAAUAGAUUGUCUCAACCAAGGUGCAAAAUCAACUUGAAAAGAUUCAGAGAGAUUUCCUUUGGGGUGAUGAUGCCUCGACAAAGAAGACAUUCUACUUACAUGGGACACAAUUUGCUCUGAUGAGAAUAGGAGUUCGGGUUUUAGGAGACUCUAGAAUAGGAGGAGAGUAGGUCCGGUGAUUAUAGAUAUUGUUUUAUUUACCAGACCUUAGCAUGCCUUGUAUGCUUCUCAAUACUAGAUGUGCCCUUUUUUCUAAGGUACCUAUUUAUAUAAAUACUUUAUAUUCCUAAUUUCCUUAAUUUGAUCUACUAUCCAACUGGAACUUCUUCAGUCCAACAUCUUCAAUUCCAAAAUCUAAGUGAACAACUUUCAUUUAAGACUAUAUUAAUAUGAAUAUAUUAAUUGCUGACAGUUGUUAUAGGUUAUAGAAAUUCUAAAAGAAAAGAUCUAUUCUGUUUCUGAUCAAAAAAUAAUUAAAGGAAAAAAAACAUACGCAGCAAGUCACUACAUAAAGCUCAUUUAAAACUUAAGGAUGUCAUUGGUACCUCAUAUAUUAAUGAUCCAAGGAACUUAUAUUACCACAGAAUUUAUAACCCACAUAACUCAAGGAGAAAGUUGUUGCAUAGACAAAAUUAUAGUACAAUCAUUUAAUAUCCCUCUAGAUGAACAAAUAUAUGUUACCAUAUUUUUUCCCAAUUUUUUAAAAUGAAAUUGUGUAAACAGAUUGUAUAAAUAACCAGACUUACAGCAUCUUAAUUCUAGUUCCAAUUUUCAAACUGCAUUUUCUUGGAGAAAUAACCAUACUGCACUGUAGUCAAACAAUUCCAGUAUAAUAUUUUCUUCAUAAUUGAACUUACAAAUUAUGACUCAAGCAGAGGUCAAUAAACUACAUGGGAUAUAUAUCGAAAUUAUGGACGAAACAACAUAUUAAAAAUAUGAUAAAACCAAGAAGCAUACAGAACUUACUCAUCAAUCCGUUGAUGCAUGAAUACAACCAAACGGUCUUCAUUAGUAACCUUUGGCAAACGAUAAGCAACCAGUCGAUCACCAUCUCUAAUCAAAGAUAAUGAAUCAGUUGGAUCCUCCAGAUAACGUAUAAUCCGGUUGUUAUAUAUCUGUAUAGAACUCCACAGCUUCAGAGCUCAAAAUGAAAAUUAUAGACACUAAUACACAAAGCAUAACCAGUCUAACCGCCGUCACAAGCAAAAGACUUUUGGAUUAACACAAUGGCUGCAAUAUACCUCAGCUACUAAUAGUGUCUCAUCAUCCUUUAAAUAACAUGAGCUGCUUAAAGCUUGAAUAAGAUCCUCGCACUUUCCAUUCUUGGGCACAGUAAUGGUGCAUGGGGAUGGCUGAGUAAUUCCAUCAGCACUCACAACUGUCAAAGUCAUUGUCCUCAUUGUUGUUGAAGGUAGAGGUAGAGACAGAUACAUGAAUGGAUCAAACGUAAUGGAGACCUUUUUGCAAACAGGACACACUAACGUUGACCUAUACUGUCCCUGUGGUUAAAAAUAAGCAUAACGCAUUUAGUCAAAAAUGUAAAGAAAAUUAUCCUGAAAAUUUGCAACAGCACCUAAUUUCAUCUUCGAAUUAACAUAUAUAUGUGUGUGUGUCUCUGUGUGAACUUAUAUUUACACAUGUAUAGGACAGUAGUCAGAUCUGAUCAAGAUAUACAUCUGAAUCCAAUGUAAUAAAAAAAUUCCAACACAAUCCAAUCUGAGAUUCUCAUAGAUGGUUAGAGUUACUUUUUGUUUGGUCAUAUAUAUGAUCUGAUGAUACAAACAAAAAGUUGUAGACAUGGCUGAAUGAUCAAAAUACGUCUUUAUGUUAGAAAAUGUGACUGCAUAAAUAUAUAAGGGUUGAUCCUAUCAAAUUGUUAUUGGUUUAAAUCAAGCUAUGUUUGAAUUUCAAUCAUUUAGUGCUCAUUUGGAUACACUUUUUGUUUCUAUUUUUAAAAAUAAAAAUAAAUAAUAACUUCUAUAUAAAACAUAAUAACUCAUAUAUAAAAAGUAUGGAAUUAUCUUAUGUCCUUAAAAAUUACUAUUUAAGAAUUUUAAAAUUUGAGAUAGUAAAAAAAGUUUUAAACAGUUUCUAAAAAUCAUUAUUUUUUUGAAGUCUCCAAGAGUUCUUAUAUUAAAUAUAGGAGUUACUACAAUUUUCUGCAUUUAGAAACAGAAAACAAGUGUAUCCAAAUGACACCUUAGUUAACUUGUUAUUAGAGCAUUGCACAAAUGCUACCACAAGUUGACAAUCACUAAUCAUGGCCUAAUACAUCAGCAGGCCUACAGCCAUACACACUACAAAACUCAUAGAAUUGAAAUCCUAGUAUAACUGAAUUCAUUGAAAAUUUUAAGUCUUCUAACAAACAAGUCACAAGAUCAACAAUCUGAUGCCAUUUUCUAUCCAAGGCUUUAACGUCACCAAUUAAAACUACAAGCACUCAAUGAAGUCCAACAAACUCAUAAAAGCUUUAGAGUUCAAAAAACUUCACAAACCAGAACCUUAAGCCUAGGUACUAGAGUUUAAAAAGAUAGCUUUGGCUUUUUUUUUUUUUAGUGAGAUUAACAUCCUGAGGUCUUGGAAGUCCAUCAUUAUCAUGUGUUUUGCACUGAUGUUCUUGCAAUUUUGCAGGUUCAGAGAAAAAAUACAGAGGGAACUUUAACAAAAUGGUACUCACCUGAGACACAUCAACAAUGAUAGAGUCAUUGCGAGCCAAAUGAUUCCUCCAAUACUCAUCAGCCACUUCUUCAUCUGGCCAACCCUCUCCAUCCUUAGCUUCAAUAUAGGGCUUGCAUUUUACGCGAUUGAGAUCUUCAUGUAGCCCAUCCAAUAGAAAAGCAAGGAGCUCCUACCAUGAAAAAUCCAUAAAUGUCAAGAGAUUUGUUUUUUUUUUUUUUUUUUUUUUUUUUUUUUUUUUUUUUUGACAACCAAGGAACCUUCCAUGGUACCCUUUGGACUCCUCAUGAGGACCUAGACCUCAGGGCGUUGACCCCACCCACCAUUCUUUGAUAAAACUUCAAAAGAAUAAUAAUAAUUAUCAAGGAAAAUGAGCGACCUCACACCCCCCAACCUCAAAGAAAAGAAAUGAAAAUUAAAAAAGCUUUUCUCAGAGCAGCAAGAAAACCUUA
This 5801-nucleotide long non-coding RNA is filed under the name Vitis vinifera (wine grape). Its description in RNAcentral is "long non-coding RNA (VVIN_LNC001840)". Lineage: Eukaryota; Viridiplantae; Streptophyta; Magnoliopsida; Vitales; Vitaceae. The record is from RNAcentral.